RNAcentral lists this transfer RNA (73 nucleotides) under Corynebacterium glyciniphilum. RNAcentral's name for it is "tRNA-Lys". It matches the Rfam family "tRNA". Rfam says of the family: Transfer RNA (tRNA) molecules are approximately 80 nucleotides in length. Lineage: Bacteria; Bacillati; Actinomycetota; Actinomycetes; Mycobacteriales; Corynebacteriaceae. The record is from RNAcentral.
GCCCCUUUAGCUCAAUAGGUAGAGCAGCCGACUUUUAAUCGGCGGGUUCCUGGUUCGAGUCCAGGGAGGGGCA